UAGGGAAUCUUCCACAAUGGACGCAAGUCUGAUGGAGCAACGCCGCGUGAGUGAAGAAGGCUUUCGGGUCGUAAAACUCUGUUAUUGAAGAAGAACGUGUGUGACAGUAACUGGUCAUGCAGUGACGGUAUUCAAUCAGAAAGUCACGGCUAACUACGUGCCAGCAGCCGCGGUAAUACGUAGGUGGCAAGCGUUGUCCGGAUUUAUUGGGCGUAAAGCGAGUGCAGGCGGUCUUUUAAGUCUGAUGUGAAAGCCUUCGGCUUAACCGAAGAAGGGCAUCGGAAACUGGGAGACUUGAGUGCAGAAGAGGAGAGUGGAACUCCAUGUGUAGCGGUGAAAUGCGUAGAUAUAUGGAAGAACACCAGUGGCGAAGGCGGCUCUCUGGUCUGUAACUGACGCUGAGGCUCGAAAGCGUGGGUAGCAAACAGGAUUAGAUACCCUGGUAGUCCACGCCGUAACGAUG
This 463-nucleotide ribosomal RNA is filed under the name uncultured bacterium. RNAcentral describes it as "partial 16S ribosomal RNA". It matches the Rfam family "Bacterial small subunit ribosomal RNA", at positions 355 to 811 of the family's 1533-position model. The record is from RNAcentral.